Molecule: small nucleolar RNA, 71 nt
Organism: Malania oleifera
Lineage: Eukaryota; Viridiplantae; Streptophyta; Magnoliopsida; Santalales; Ximeniaceae
Product: small nucleolar RNA snoR60
Exons: 1
Source: RefSeq, a predicted model, not a curated record
AUGCAUAUGAUGAAUUACUCGGAUUCCCCUUCUAGACAUUAUGGGUGAUGCAACACCGAGUUUCUGAUGCA